RNAcentral lists this unclassified non-coding RNA (421 nucleotides) under Hevea brasiliensis (rubber tree). The record is from RNAcentral. Lineage: Eukaryota; Viridiplantae; Streptophyta; Magnoliopsida; Malpighiales; Euphorbiaceae.
GCCGUUUCCGUGCUUCAUAGUUGAAUGGCUGUUAAACUUUAGGUAAAAUCCUCAAUGAAGUCCUUUGUCUGAUUUUCAACUGAUCCCACCAAACAUUUAAGGCUAUAAUGACCUAAAAGCAUGACACUAUUUUAAACAAGCAUGAUACAAACAAACAGAGUAAAAAAAAAAAAUUAAAUAAAGAUAACAUAGUGCGCCUCCUGUGCUUAUGGCCCAAACCAGCAAAUAGAAGGAAAAGGAAUGAUCUUAAAUGUGACAGGGAAAAAUGGAGACUUCAGUUUUGAGCACAGCGUACGUUUUGUUAUUCGUGCAUCCAGAGACCGGAGAUGUGCAAAUUAAUAAUUUCAUUCUAGAAUUAUGUCCAAGUGAAUGGUACCUGUUUUAGAUUAAUUGACUAAAGAUACCCAUUGAUUACAACCAC